This 324-nucleotide ribosomal RNA is filed under the name uncultured eukaryote. RNAcentral describes it as "partial 18S ribosomal RNA". It matches the Rfam family "Eukaryotic small subunit ribosomal RNA", at positions 1470 to 1796 of the family's 1831-position model. The record is from RNAcentral.
CCCUUAGAUGUUCUGGGCUGCACGCGCGCUACACUGAAGCUAUCAACACGUUUUCCCUCCCUGAGAAGGGCGGGUAACCUUUUGAAUCAGCUUCGUGGUAGGGAUCGGGGCUUGCAAUUGUUCCCCGUGAACCAGGAAUUCCUAGUAGACGCGAGUCAUAAGCUCGCAUCGAUUAAGUCCCUGCCCUUUGUACACACCGCCCGUCGCUACUACCGAUUGAACGUUUUAGUGAGGCAUUUGGACCGACGCAUCUCAGUUUAACUGCUGGUUUGUGUUGGAAAGACUUCCAAACUUGAGCGUUUAGAGGAAGUAAAAGUCGUAACA